RNAcentral lists this ribosomal RNA (1775 nucleotides) under Xyrichtys novacula (pearly razorfish). RNAcentral's name for it is "16S ribosomal RNA". It matches the Rfam family "Bacterial large subunit ribosomal RNA". The record is from RNAcentral. Lineage: Eukaryota; Metazoa; Chordata; Actinopteri; Labriformes; Labridae.
ACCCCCAGAACAUUGCCAACCAUUGAAUGGCAGAACUAAGACCACCACAUGCCUGUGCGAAACAGGAUGUUCUAAUGUCCAACAGCUAGCCCGUCCCCCAAAAACCAACUCUCCCCCCUUAACUACCCCCAAACGUACCCGCCAUCGUAAAACAAAUCAUUUUUCCUUCUCAGUAUAGGAGAUAGAAAAGAAAAUAGGAGCAAUAACUAAAGUACCGCAAGGGAAAGCUGAAAGAAAAAUGAAACAGCCUAACAAACUACUAACAGCAGAGCUUCUCCCUCGUACCUUUUGCAUCAUGAAUUAGCUAGUAACACUUAAGCAAAAUCUAUUUUAGUUUAAAUCCCCGAAACUAAGUGAGCUACUUCAAGACAGCCUAUAAAUCUAGGGCCAACCCGUCUCUGUGGCAAAAGAGUGGGAAGAGCUUCGAGUAGCGGUGACAGACCUACCGAACUUAGUUAUAGCUGGUUGCCGGAGAAGUGGAUAGAAGUUCAGCCUUUUGGAUUCUCCUUUCAACUAGACCCUAAUCUUCUCCCUGUUACAAAAGAAACCAAAAGAGUUAGUCAAGGGGGGUACAGCCCCUUUGAACCAAGACACAACUUUAAAAUGAAGGAUAAAGAUCAUAAUCAUUAAGGCCCGAGAGUUGAGGUAGGCUUGAAAGCAGCCACCCCCUAGAAAAGCGUUAUAGCUUAGGCACUGCGCCCUCACACCCUAAAAUUCCGAUAACCCAAUCUUAAUCCCCUUAUUCUAUCCGGCCGCUUCAUGCACUCAUGGAAGCGAUCCUGCUAAUAUCAGUAAUAAGAGGGCCUAGAACCUCUCCCAGCACAUGUGUACCUCGGCUCGAACCCCCACCGAUAUUUAACGACCCCAAAGAAAGAGGGAACUAGACAGUCUAUAAAAACCCAGAAAACUCUCCAACAGAAAACCGUUAACCCCACACUGGUGUGCUAAAAAGGAAAGACUAAAAGGAAGAGAAGGAACUCGGCAAACACCCUAUUGGCCUCGCCUGUUUACCAAAAACAUCGCCUCUUGCAAACUUGAACGAAUAAGAGGUCCCGCCUGCCCAGUGACAAUACGUUCAACGGCCGCGGUAUUAUGACCGUGCAAAGGUAGCGCAAUCACUUGUCUUUUAAAUGGGGACCCGUAUGAAUGGCAUAACGAGGGCUAAACUGUCUCCUCUUCCCAGUCAAUGAAAUUGAUCCCCCCGUGCAGAAGCGGGGAUACCCACAUAAGACGAGAAGACCCUAUGGAGCUUUAGACACAAAGACAGACUAUGUUAAGCACCUUCGAACAAGAAAGAAAACUAAAUAUCCCCUGCUCUUAUGUCUUUGGUUGGGGCGACCUCGGGGAAACAACAAACCCCCAAGCGGAACAGAGGCACUGUCCUCCCAAACUGAGAGCUCCUGCUCUAGGAAAUAAAACUUUUAACCUUACAGACCCGGCAAAGCCGAUCAACGAACCGAGUUACCCUAGGGAUAACAGCGCAAUCCCCUUCCAGAGCCCCUAUCGCCAAGGGGGUUUACGACCUCGAUGUUGGAUCAGGAUAUCCUAAUGGCGCAGCCGUUAUUAAGGGUUCGUUUGUUCAACGAUUAAAGUCCUACGUGAUCUGAGUUCAGACCGGAGUAAUCCAGGUCAGUUUCUAUCUAUGAAGUGAUCUCUCCUAGUACGAAAGGACCGGAAAGAAGAGGCCCCUGCUCCCCGCACGCCUCCCCCUCACCCGAUGCAGGCAACUAAAUCAGGCAAGAGGACACGACCCCCAAGCCCUAGAGCUGGGCGAA